CCUACGGGAGGCAGCAGUGGGGAAUUUUGGACAAUGGGCGAAAGCCUGAUCCAGCCAUGCCGCGUGAGUGAAGAAGGCCUUCGGGUUGUAAAGCUCUUUUAGUCGGAAAGAAAGAGUUGCAAUGAAUAAUUGUGAUUUAUGACGGUACCGACAGAAAAAGCACCGGCUAACUACGUGCCAGCAGCCGCGGUAAUACGUAGGGUGCGAGCGUUAAUCGGAAUUACUGGGCGUAAAGGGUGCGCAGGCGGUCUUGCAAGUCAGAUGUGAAAGCCCCGGGCUUAACCUGGGAAUUGCGUUUGAAACUACAAGGCUAGAGUGCAGCAGAGGGGAGUGGAAUUCCAUGUGUAGCAGUGAAAUGCGUAGAGAUGUGGAAGAACACCGAUGGCGAAGGCAGCUCCCUGGGUUGACACUGACGCUCAUGCACGAAAGCGUGGGGAGCAAACAGGAUUAGAUACCCUGGUAGUCCACGCCCUAAACGAUGUCAACUAGUUGUCGGAUCUAAUUAAGGAUUUGGUAACGUAGCUAACGCGUGAAGUUGACCGCCUGGGGAGUACGGUCGCAAGAUUAAAACUCAAAGGAAUUGACGG
Molecule: ribosomal RNA, 587 nt
Filed under: uncultured Nitrosomonas sp.
Lineage: Bacteria; Pseudomonadati; Pseudomonadota; Betaproteobacteria; Nitrosomonadales; Nitrosomonadaceae
Description: bacterial SSU rRNA
Rfam family: Bacterial small subunit ribosomal RNA
Source: RNAcentral